GAUGAACGCUGGCGGCGUGCCUAAUACAUGCAAGUCGAGCGAACAGACGAGGAGCUUGCUCCUCUGACGUUAGCGGCGGACGGGUGAGUAACACGUGGAUAACCUACCUAUAAGACUGGGAUAACUUCGGGAAACCGGAGCUAAUACCGGAUAAUAUAUUGAACCGCAUGGUUCAAUAGUGAAAGACGGUUUUGCUGUCACUUAUAGAUGGAUCCGCGCCGCAUUAGCUAGUUGGUAAGGUAACGGCUUACCAAGGCAACGAUGCGUAGCCGACCUGAGAGGGUGAUAGGCCACCCUGGAACUGAGACACGGUCCAGACUCCUACGGGAGGCAGCAGUAGGGAAUCUUCCGCAGUGGGCGAAAGCCUGACGGAGCAACGCCGCGUGAGUGAUGAAGGUCUUCGGAUCGUAAAACUCUGUUAUUAGGGAAGAACAAAUGUGUAAGUAACUAUGCACGUCUUGACGGUACCUAAUCAGAAAGCCACGGCUAACUACGUG
RNAcentral lists this ribosomal RNA (497 nucleotides) under uncultured bacterium. RNAcentral describes it as "partial 16S ribosomal RNA". It matches the Rfam family "Bacterial small subunit ribosomal RNA", at positions 28 to 507 of the family's 1533-position model. The record is from RNAcentral.